GCCCAGGUGGUGAAAUUGGCAUACACGUCAGCCUUAGGAGCUGAUUCCCGAAAGGGAUUGAGGGUUCAAGUCCCUCCCUGGGCA
RNAcentral lists this transfer RNA (84 nucleotides) under bacterium. Its description in RNAcentral is "tRNA-Leu". It matches the Rfam family "tRNA". Rfam says of the family: Transfer RNA (tRNA) molecules are approximately 80 nucleotides in length. Their secondary structure includes four short double-helical elements and three loops (D, anti-codon, and T loops). The record is from RNAcentral.